AUGAAGAAUGGUGGGUUGGAAAUGGUGUUUCUGGUUGGUGUGCUUUUCUGGAAAUGCAUCUCAUCAAAGUGCAGAUCUAAGAGAAGAAUGGUUCAGAGUCUGCCCUCGUUCACACUUCCCCUUCACUCUGCAAACAGCAAAACUGAGACAAUGAUGAUGGCAACUAAGAGAGGAAGGGCCAAGUACAAUGUCAAUAUUGCUGACCUGCUGCGUGAGGAAUGAACCAUGCUUGUAUUGCAGGGGCAAGCAAAGAUCAGCAGCCACAGCUGGACAAGAGAGGCAUCCCAGAGGUACUGCAAGCCUGUUUUGCUGCCGAGCAUUCUGUACUGUGAAACCACAGCCCCAUGGAGCAAGGGAACAACAGGAGACGCUUGCUGCUUUCAGGAUUAAAUCUAAAUUUGACUGAUGCUAUUUCACCCCUUGAUGAUGCUUUAAUAUAUGAUUAGUUUCUUGUCCCAGAUCAUGCUUUAAUUCCUUCAAGCCCAGGUAUGCCGUGAAACAGGAGACCGCCCUGACCUACAGUCCAAUCUGUCUCUGGUCCUGAGCACUUCU
Molecule: long non-coding RNA, 552 nt
Filed under: Anser brachyrhynchus (Pink-footed goose)
Lineage: Eukaryota; Metazoa; Chordata; Aves; Anseriformes; Anatidae
Description: lncRNA (ENSABRG00000004381.1)
Source: RNAcentral